Molecule: long non-coding RNA, 455 nt
Organism: Fopius arisanus
Lineage: Eukaryota; Metazoa; Arthropoda; Insecta; Hymenoptera; Braconidae
Exons: 3
Source: RefSeq, a predicted model, not a curated record
UGGGGCCGUAAAAUUCGUUUACUCAGUAAAGAAGUCGUAAGAGCAUAUCUGUUAUGCAAUGCUAGUUAAAUGACUGGGUUCAAGUGCAUCAUGAAAGGCAGUUGGGCUGAUACUACGAGGAUGAGUCGACACAAACUCUGGCUAUCGUGAUGGCCCUCAAGGUCGGAGGCAUUUUUUCCUCCUCGAAAUGAUUUUUUUUUACAAAAUGGCUCCAAACGAUAUUGACCCACCAAUCGGUUUCUCCACCUCAGCUGUACGAUCUCUUCGUCCUUGAGAUGAAAAAAAAGUCGAGGAAGAAAAGUGAUAAAAAAAUUAUGUGACAUAUAUCGGAUUAAUAAGACGGUGAAAAGUAAAAAUUAAUGGAGUAAUUUCCCGCUCCAUCUCUGCACACACUCGAUUCACCCUCGGUCUUACUACUGCUUCGAUUUUCCAUGGACAGCUUUCUUCCAAGCAUG